UUUAUUUAUUUAAUAUAUGUUUUUAAAAAAGUUAUAAAUAUUUUAGAAAGCAAAUAAAAUUAGUUUUAUAACAAAGUUUGGUUCUGGCUUAAUAACAUAGUAGUAGCGAGAAAAUACACAUGGUUUUUUUAGAAAUUAGUGAGGAUAAAAAUAUACUUGAUUGGCAAAGCAAAAAGCUGCAAAUUAUUUAUAUUUUUAAGUAUUAUAAAAGAUAUAAUUCUAUAUUUGAAUCACUAUACACCAGUGUCAAAUAUUAAUAAAGGAGUGAAAACUUGCCUUAGACAAGCUAAAUAGGUUUGGUCAACUUGGUGCCAGCAUCCGCGGUUAGACCAAGAAAUCAAAUUAUGUAAUAUAGGUAAAAAGAUAGUUAGACGCAAAGGCUAAUUUUAAGAAUUUUUAUUAAAAAGUAAAAUUUGUAUAUAAAAAAGUAUUCUAAUUAAAGUUUUUAAGUCGAAGCUAUGAAAGCUUAAUUGUAAACUAGGAUUAGAUGCCCUAUUAUUCUAAGCUAUAAACUUAUAUCAAAUAUAUACCUGAGUACUACGAGUAAAAGACUUAAAACUCAAAGAACUUGGCGGUAUUCCACACUCUUCAGGGGAACCUGUCUCAUAAUCGACAAUCCGCGUUAUACCUUACCUUCUUUUGUAUAUCAGUUUGUAUACCGUCGUCGUCCAGCUAACUUUUAAAAAUAAAUAAGUUAACAAAAAAAAAUUAAUUUUAGACGUCAGAUCAAGGUGCAGCUAAUAAGAAGGAGAGGAUGGGUUACAAUUAAAAUUUAUAAUCACGAAGUAAAAAAUUAAAUUUUUUAAUGAAGGAGGACUUGAAAGUAAAGGUUUAUAUAUAGAUUUUUUGAAUAAAGCUCUGGAAUGUGCACACAUCGCCCGUCGCUCUCGUUGAAAAAUGAGAUAAGUCGUAACAUAGUAGGGGUAAUGGAAAUUGUUCCUGGAUG
Molecule: non-coding RNA, 946 nt
Filed under: Notocochlis sp. HL-2020
Lineage: Eukaryota; Metazoa; Mollusca; Gastropoda; Littorinimorpha; Naticidae
Description: 12S ribosomal RNA
Rfam family: Microsporidia small subunit ribosomal RNA (bases 239-946)
Source: RNAcentral